GUCGAGCGGUAGCAGAGGAGCUUGCUUCUCUUGAGAGCGGCGGACGGGUGAGUAAAGCCUAGGAAUCUGCCUGGUAGUGGGGGAUAACGUUCGGAAACGGACGCUAAUACCGCAUACGUCCUACGGGAGAAAGCAGGGGACCUUCGGGCCUUGCGCUAUCAGAUGAGCCUAGGUCGGAUUAGCUAGUUGGUGAGGUAAUGGCUCACCAAGGCGACGAUCCGUAACUGGUCUGAGAGGAUGAUCAGUCACACUGGAACUGAGACACGGUCCAGACUCCUACGGGAGGCAGCAGUGGGGAAUAUUGGACAAUGGGCGAAAGCCUGAUCCAGCCAUGCCGCGUGUGUGAAGAAGGUCUUCGGAUUGUAAAGCACUUUAAGUUGGGAGGAAGGGCAUUAACCUAAUACGUUAGUGUCUUGACGUUACCGACAGAAUAAGCACCGGCUAACUCUGUGCCAGCAGCCGCGGUAAUACAGAG
This 475-nucleotide ribosomal RNA is filed under the name uncultured Pseudomonas sp. Its description in RNAcentral is "bacterial SSU rRNA". It matches the Rfam family "Bacterial small subunit ribosomal RNA", at positions 61 to 530 of the family's 1533-position model. Lineage: Bacteria; Pseudomonadati; Pseudomonadota; Gammaproteobacteria; Pseudomonadales; Pseudomonadaceae. The record is from RNAcentral.